Molecule: long non-coding RNA, 577 nt
Organism: Xenopus laevis (African clawed frog)
Lineage: Eukaryota; Metazoa; Chordata; Amphibia; Anura; Pipidae
Exons: 2
Source: RefSeq, a predicted model, not a curated record
UAAUGGCAGGAGAGGACUAAGCCCUAUGAUGAAAACCAAUGCCCAGGUCGGGAGACCUUUUAUUUCAGGUUAUUAAUGGAACGACAAUCAAUGUCCUGAGUGUCAUACACGGCUUCUGCACAUGUCAUUGGAUCCUUUUGAAUGGUGCAGAGUCCACUAGACGUCUCGGGUAUGCCGUAUCCAUUGUUACAAACAAUUACCAAAUUGAUGAAAUAUGUAUUUCAUACUAAAUGUAUCAAAAUGUUUCAAAAACUGGGGUUUUGUAUGCUUACUUUUUAUAUGUUUUGACACUGAUAAUCUAUGGACACUCUGUGAAGAUGGACUUUAUUGAUUGGACAUUUCACCUGUAUUUAAAUGCAAACAGUUUUGGAUACUGGACUAUGACUCACAUACAAUUGAGAAUGUCAUUAACAUCUUAACGAGGGGGAGGGGUUCACAAUCACCACCCCCCUUCUACCCCUAUAUAAGCUGAUUUUUGAAUGUGACACAAGAGGCUUGAUAAAGGACCCGGGGGGGGGGGUCUGAAACAUUGCCCCUUUGUGAUGUAUACUUUGGGCUUCAAAUAAAUCACAGUUUG